AACGAACGCUGGCGGCAGGCCUAACACAUGCAAGUCGAACGCUCGUAGCAAUACGAGAGUGGCAGACGGGUGAGUAACACGUGGGAACCUUCCCUAUGGUUCGGAAUAGCUCAGGGAAACUUGAGGUAAUACCGGAUAAGCCCUUACGGGGAAAGAUUUAUCGCCAUUGGAUGGGCCCGCGUCGGAUUAGCUAGUUGGUGAGGUAACGGCUCACCAAGGCGACGAUCCGUAGCUGGUCNGAGAGGAUGAUCAGCCACAC
Molecule: ribosomal RNA, 259 nt
Filed under: uncultured bacterium
Lineage: Bacteria
Description: partial 16S ribosomal RNA
Rfam family: Bacterial small subunit ribosomal RNA
Source: RNAcentral